This 373-nucleotide ribosomal RNA is filed under the name uncultured organism. RNAcentral's name for it is "partial 16S ribosomal RNA". It matches the Rfam family "Bacterial small subunit ribosomal RNA", at positions 527 to 896 of the family's 1533-position model. The record is from RNAcentral.
GUAGGUGGCAAGCGUUGUCCGGAAUUAUUGGGCGUAAAGCGCGCGCAGGCGGUUCUUUAAGUCUGAUGUGAAAGCCCACGGCUCAACCGUGGAGGGUCAUUGGAAACUGGAGAACUUGAGUACAGAAGAGGAAAGCGGAAUUCCACGUGUAGCGGUGAAAUGCGUAGAGAUGUGGAGGAACACCAGUGGCGAAGGCGGCUUUCUGGUCUGUAACUGACGCUGAGGCGCGAAAGCGUGGGGAGCAAACAGGAUUAGAUACCCUGGUAGUCCACGCCGUAAACGAUGAGUGCUAAGUGUUAGGGGGGUUUCCGCCCCUUUAGUGCUGCAGCUAACGCAUUAAGCACUCCGCCCUGGGAGUACGGCCGCAAGGCUG